GACGAACGCUGGCGGCGUGCUUAACACAUGCAAGUCGAACGAAGUGGCGAACGGGUGAGUAACGCGUAAUCAACCUGCCCUUCCGAGGGGGACAACAGUUGGAAACGACUGCUAAUACCGCAUACUGAAGGAGGGGAUCUCGUCUGAUUAGCUAGUUGGAGGGGUAACGGCCCACCAAGGCGAUGAUCAGUAGCCGGGCUGAGAGAAUGGACGGCCACAUUGGGACUGAGACACGGCCCAGACUCCUACGGGAGGCAGCAGGGGGGAAUCUGCCGCAAUGGAAGAAAGUCUGACGGAGCAACGCCGCGUGAGUGAUGACGGCCUUCGGGUUGUAAAGCUCUGUUAAUCGUGACGCGGUACCGGAAUAGAAAGCCACGGCUAACUACGUGCCAGCCGCCGCGGUAAUUC
RNAcentral lists this ribosomal RNA (408 nucleotides) under uncultured bacterium. Its description in RNAcentral is "partial 16S ribosomal RNA". It matches the Rfam family "Bacterial small subunit ribosomal RNA", at positions 28 to 526 of the family's 1533-position model. The record is from RNAcentral.